This 113-nucleotide ribosomal RNA is filed under the name Dorea formicigenerans. Lineage: Bacteria; Bacillati; Bacillota; Clostridia; Lachnospirales; Lachnospiraceae. The record is from RNAcentral.
UGGCGAUGCGCUUAGGGGUAACACCCGUUCCCAUCCCGAACACGAUGGUUAAGACCUAAGCGGCCGAUGGUACUUUACUGGAGACGGUACGGGAGAGUAGGUGGCUGCCAGAC